Molecule: ribosomal RNA, 467 nt
Filed under: uncultured bacterium
Lineage: Bacteria
Description: partial 16S ribosomal RNA
Rfam family: Bacterial small subunit ribosomal RNA
Source: RNAcentral
ACGAACGCUGGCGGCGUGCUUAACACAUGCAAGUCGAACGGAAAGGCCCUGCUUUUGUGGGGUGCUCGAGUGGCGAACGGGUGAGUAACACGUGAGUAACCUGCCCUUGACUUUGGGAUAACUUCAGGAAACUGGGGCUAAUACCGGAUAGGAGCUCCUGCUGCAUGGUGGGGGUUGGAAAGUUUCGGCGGUUGGGGAUGGACUUGCGGCUUAUCAGCUUGUUGGUGGGGUAGUGGCUUACCAAGGCUUUGACGGGUAGCCGGCCUGAGAGGGUGACCGGCCACAUUGGGACUGAGAUACGGCCCAGACUCCUACGGGAGGCAGCAGUGGGGAAUAUUGCACAAUGGGCGGAAGCCUGAUGCAGCAACGCCGCGUGCGGGAUGACGGCCUUCGGGUUGUAAACCGCCUUCGCCUGUGACGAAGCGUGAGUGACGGUAAUGGGUAAAGAAGCACCGGCUAACUACGUG